AUUUAUUUUCUAGGUACUUCAAAUACUCUAGAUCAAGUUUAACGGAGCCGAUUGACGAUUCGAAAGUCGCAACAUCAAAAACGAGCUGGAAGCACGGAAGGCUCCGUGCUUCCGAUAGCAUAGUAGCCUCACUCUAUAUAUAUAUAUAUAUAUAUAUAUAUAUAUAUAUAACGUAAAAUAAUUUCAAGUUCGGGUUCGGUCAGAUUCGGGUCCGGAUCAGGUAUAAUCAAAAUCCAUAUUUGAAUCCAAAUCCGUCGAUUUUUCUAUUUUGAUACUCAUAUUCGAAACUAUAUCCUAUUAGCAUUGGGUAAUUCGGAGUCGGAUAAAAUUUCUGAUAUACCUUAUCCAUUGACAUUCCCAGUUGGGU
RNAcentral lists this long non-coding RNA (367 nucleotides) under Ananas comosus (pineapple). Its description in RNAcentral is "long non-coding RNA (ACOM_LNC036043)". The record is from RNAcentral. Lineage: Eukaryota; Viridiplantae; Streptophyta; Magnoliopsida; Poales; Bromeliaceae.